AGAGUUUGAUCAUGGCUCAGAACGAACGCUGGCGGCAUGCCUCAUACAUGCAAGUCGAACGAAGGCUUCGGCCUUAGUGGCGCACGGGUGAGUAGCGCGUGGGAACCUACCCUUUUGUGGGGGAUAACCGAGGGAAACUUCGGCUAAUACCGCAUACGCCGGGUAACCGGGAAAGAUUUAUCGCAGAAGGAUGGGCCCGCGUCGGAUUAGCUAGUUGGUGGGGUAAUGGCCUACCAAGGCAAUGAUCCGUAGCUGGUCUGAGAGGAUGAUCAGCCACACUGGGACUGAGACACGGCCCAGACUCCUACGGGAGGCAGCAGUAGGGAAUAUUGGACAAUGGGCGAAAGCCUGAUCCAGCAAUGCCGCGUGAGUGAGGAAGGCCUUAGGGUUGUAAAGCUCUUUCGGCGGGGACGAUGAUGACGGUACCUGCAGAAGAAGCCCCGGCUAACUUCGUGCCAGCAGCCGCGGUAAUACGAAGGGGGCGAGCGUUGUUCGGAAUUACUGGGCGUAAAGGGCGCGUAGGCGGCCAUCUUUGUCAGGCGUGAAAGCCCUGGGCUCAACCCAGGAAUUGCGCUCGGGACGGGUUGGCUUGAGUUCGGGAGAGGAGAGUGGAAUUCCCAGUGUAGAGGUGAAAUUCGUAGAUAUUGGGAAGAACACCGGUGGCGAAGGCGGCUCUCUGGACCGAUACUGACGCUGAGGCGCGAAAGCGUGGGGAGCAAACAGGAUUAGAUACCCCCGUAGUCC
RNAcentral lists this ribosomal RNA (744 nucleotides) under uncultured bacterium. RNAcentral's name for it is "bacterial SSU rRNA". It matches the Rfam family "Bacterial small subunit ribosomal RNA", at positions 8 to 796 of the family's 1533-position model. The record is from RNAcentral.